RNAcentral lists this unclassified non-coding RNA (331 nucleotides) under Hevea brasiliensis (rubber tree). Lineage: Eukaryota; Viridiplantae; Streptophyta; Magnoliopsida; Malpighiales; Euphorbiaceae. The record is from RNAcentral.
AUUGCAGCAGCAUUUAGUCCUGAUGGGAGAACACUUGCUUCUACUCAUGGGGAUCAUACUGUGAAGAUAAUUGAUUGUCAAACUGGAAACUGCUUAAAGGUGUUGACUGGUCAUCGGAGGACUCCUUGGGUGGUUAGGUUCCAUCCAUUGCAGCCUGAAAUUCUUGCUAGUGGGAGCUUGGAUUAUGAGGUUCGCUUAUGGGAUGCAAACACAUCAGAGUGUAUAGGAUCUCGUGAUUUCUAUCGUCCUAUUGCUUCCAUUGCUUUCCAUGCUGAAGGGGAAUUGCUUGCAGUUGCAUCAGGUCACAAGUUGUACAUAUGGCACUACAAUA